This 22-nucleotide non-coding RNA is filed under the name Gallus gallus (chicken). Lineage: Eukaryota; Metazoa; Chordata; Aves; Galliformes; Phasianidae. The record is from RNAcentral. RNAcentral also lists the same sequence under 1 other name.
UGGCUCAGUUCAGCAGGAACAA